GAUAAACGCUGGCGGCGUGCCUAACACAUGCAAGUCGAACGUCCUACGCAAGUAGGGAGUGGCGGACGGGUGAGUAACACGUGGAGAUCUACCUUCAAGUUCGGAAUACCGGCGAGAAAUCGCCGACAAAACCGGAUGUGUCUCGCAAGAAACAAAGUCGCAAGACGCUUGAAGAUGACUCUGCGCCCGAUUAGCCAGUUGGUGGGGUCAUGGCCUACCAAGGCGACGAUCGGUAGCUGGUCUGAGAGGAUGAUCAGCCACACUGGGAUUGAGAACG
RNAcentral lists this ribosomal RNA (277 nucleotides) under uncultured bacterium. Its description in RNAcentral is "partial 16S ribosomal RNA". It matches the Rfam family "Bacterial small subunit ribosomal RNA", at positions 28 to 328 of the family's 1533-position model. The record is from RNAcentral.